RNAcentral lists this ribosomal RNA (477 nucleotides) under uncultured Burkholderia sp. RNAcentral's name for it is "bacterial SSU rRNA". It matches the Rfam family "Bacterial small subunit ribosomal RNA", at positions 164 to 636 of the family's 1533-position model. The record is from RNAcentral. Lineage: Bacteria; Pseudomonadati; Pseudomonadota; Betaproteobacteria; Burkholderiales; Burkholderiaceae.
UAAUACCGCAUACGCUCUACGGAGGAAAGGGGGGGAUCUUAGGACCUCCCGCUAGAGGGGCGGCCGAUGGCAGAUUAGCUAGUUGGUGGGGUAAAGGCCUACCAAGGCGACGAUCUGUAGCUGGUCUGAGAGGACGACCAGCCACACUGGGACUGAGACACGGCCCAGACUCCUACGGGAGGCAGCAGUGGGGAAUUUUGGACAAUGGGGGAAACCCUGAUCCAGCAAUGCCGCGUGUGUGAAGAAGGCCUUCGGGUUGUAAAGCACUUUUGUCCGGAAAGAAAACAUAUGCACUAAUACUGUGUGUGGAUGACGGUACCGGAAGAAUAAGCACCGGCUAACUACGUGCCAGCAGCCGCGGUAAUACGUAGGGUGCAAGCGUUAAUCGGAAUUACUGGGCGUAAAGCGUGCGCAGGCGGUUCGCUAAGACAGAUGUGAAAUCCCCGGGCUUAACCUGGGAACUGCAUUUGUGACUGG